This 484-nucleotide ribosomal RNA is filed under the name uncultured bacterium. RNAcentral's name for it is "partial 16S ribosomal RNA". It matches the Rfam family "Bacterial small subunit ribosomal RNA", at positions 30 to 507 of the family's 1533-position model. The record is from RNAcentral.
AUUGAACGCUGGCGGCAGGCCUAACACAUGCAAGUCGAGCGGAUGAAGGGAGCUUGCUCCUGGAUUCAGCGGCGGACGGGUGAGUAAUGCCUAGGAAUCUGCCUGGUCGUGGGGGAUAACGUCCGGACACGGGCGCUAAUACCGCAUACGUCCUGAGGGAGAAAGUGGGGGAUCUUCGGACCUCACGCUAUCAGCUGAGCCUAGGUCGGAUUAGCUAGUUGGUGGGGUAAAGGCCUACCAAGGCGACGAUCCGUAACUGCUCUGAGAGGAUGAUCAGUCACACUGGAACUGAGACACGGUCCAGACUCCUACGGGAGGCAGCAGUGGGGAAUAUUGGACAAUGGGCGAAAGCCUGAUGGAGCCAUGCCGCGUGUGUGAAGAAGGUCUUCGGAUUGUAAAGCACUUUAAGUUGGGAGGAAGGGCAGUAAGUGAAUACCUGGCUGUUUUGACGUUACCAACAGAGUAAGCACCGGCUAACUUCGUG